AGUGAACGCUGGCGGUAGGCCUAACACAUGCAAGUCGAACGGCAGCACAGUAAGAGCUUGCUCUUACGGGUGUCGAGUGGCGGACGGGUGAGUAAUACAUCGGAAUCUACUUUUUCGUGGGGGAUAACGUAGGGAAACUUACGCUAAUACCGCAUACGACCUACGGGUGAAAGCAGGGGAUCUUCGGACCUUGCGCGAUUGAAUGAGCCGAUGUCGGAUUAGCUAGUUGGCGGGGUAAAGGCCCACCAAGGCGACGAUCCGUAGCUGGUCUGAGAGGAUGAUCAGCCACACUGUAACUGAGACACGGUCCAGACUCCUACGGGAGGCAGCAGUGGGGAAUAUUGGACAAUGGGCGCAAGCCUGAUCCAGCCAUACCGCGUGGGUGAAGAAGGCCUUCGGGUUGGAAAGCCCUUUUGUUGGGAAAGAAAAGCAGCAGGUUAAUACCCCGCUGUUCUGACGGUACCCAAAGAAUAAGCACCGGCUAACUUCGUG
This 492-nucleotide ribosomal RNA is filed under the name uncultured bacterium. Its description in RNAcentral is "partial 16S ribosomal RNA". It matches the Rfam family "Bacterial small subunit ribosomal RNA", at positions 29 to 507 of the family's 1533-position model. The record is from RNAcentral.